Molecule: ribosomal RNA, 253 nt
Filed under: uncultured bacterium
Lineage: Bacteria
Description: partial 16S ribosomal RNA
Rfam family: Bacterial small subunit ribosomal RNA
Source: RNAcentral
UACGUAGGGGGCUAGCGUUGUCCAGAAUCAUUGGGCGUAAAGCGCGUGUAGGCGGCCCGGUAAGUCCGCUGUGAAAGUCGGGGGCUCAACCCUCGGAUGCCGGUGGAUACUGUCGGGCUAGAGUGCGGAAGAGGCGAGUGGAAUUCCUGGUGUAGCGGUGGAAUGCGCAGAUAUCAGGAGGAACACCAAUAGCGAAGGCAGCUCGCUGGGACGGUACUGACGCUAAGGUGCGAAAGCGUGGGGAGCAAACAGG